GAGGGUGUUGCUUGGCUAUAGGUCUGCAAGAGCAUUCAAGUAAAUACGAGUACAUAAGAAUUGUUGUUGUUUCCAGGUGGGUCUUGGUUUCCCUGUGGCCCACUCCCCGCCUCUGUGAUGUCAUCGGCCCAGGCAAUGAGGUCAUUGUCCGGCCUCCUGGCAACUAGGGGGUCAGAACUAAAGCAGUGGAAGAAGCGGCCACAGCCUCACCUGGACGUCCACCCCAAGGCCAGCCUUUCCCCCUUGAGCCUUCAUGUCAUGGAGAACCGGGGCCCUCUCUCCCCCAGCCUCCCAGAGCCUCGGUCUUCCAUGACUGACAUCCCCAGUCAUGUGGACGAAGAGCUGGAUCAGGACACGGUGAACUUCAUCUCCGCCUUGUACUCUGCUCUGGGGCCCCUCCUGCCAGAAGUGACCCAACUGCAGAUCCACCAGGACCCCCCAGUCCACCUGAUGGUUGACAUGAAGGCCAAGUUGAGGGAACUGGGCUCCAGCGUCUCCGAUGCCAGGAAGAGGCUGCUGAGGUACAACAUCUACCUGAAGAAGAGGCUGGCCCGGGCGCUCCAGGAAAAGGCGGCCUGGAGGGAGCAGCAGGCACAGUUGGCACAGAUGGCACAGGUGGCACAGAUGGUACAAGUGGCGCAGAUGUCACAGGUGGCACAGGCGGCACAGAUGGCAGAUGCUGGCACCCAGCAGCCCCCAAUGCCGAGGGGGGUCAGGAUGGAGAUGGCGCCAGGGAAGUCCAGCGCUGGGGUGGAGAAGAACAUCCAGGAGGCCCCGGCCCCAGAGUUCCCACGGAUCAAGCCCCCCGAGAGAGUACAUCGGCGGACCGGGAGCCUGCAAGACCCCCGUUUUGCUACCGUGGGGCAGGAAGGCAUGAGGGGACACGACAAGGCGGAUGACCACUGCCGGGGGAGCCUGGCCGUCCAGGCGGCGCUCCAGAGAAAUGCGGCCAGAGUGGACGCCAUGCGUAAGUGCCUCCUCCUCCUUCUCCAGGCCAUUAGUGGAAUAGAAUAGAAUAACUUUAUUGUCAUGGUGUUGUCGAAGGCUUUCAUGGGCGGAAUCACAGGGUUGUUGUGUGUUUUCCAUGCUGUAUGGCCAUGUUCCAGAAGCAGCAUUCUCUCCUGACGUUUCAUCCACAUCUAUGGCAGGCAUCCUCAAAAGUUGGGGGUAUAUAGGAAAAACUAAGAUAGCUUUGUUAAUUAGCACUGUACAUAAUGUAAAUAAAGUUUCAGUGCCGCUGGCUUCAGCAGAUAUAAAUCAGCGAAGUUGUCGUUCUCGGUCGGUGCCACUUUCACCGUUUGCAAAGUGGUCUGAUGGAUGGGCACAGGUGAGAUCUUGCUCAUCAAUCAGUCAGAGUUGCCAAUUCCCUGACACCACCCGCCUGUUUAUGUUGGAUAACCAGAACUCUACUGUAUUCUGAAAUCUGAAACACAGAACGCUUCUGGUCUGAAGGCUUUUGGAAAACGGUGACUCAACCUGCAGCAUGUUCUCCGGUGGUUCUUCUUCUGCAAGGAGGACAACUUCAUUCCUUUGGUGAUGCAGCUUCUCAGUUGCAUUUCAAGUCGUGAGGAUUCAGUCUCCCCAUACGACUGAGGAAGAACAUUGCAUGGCUCAAGGGAGUGCUGUUGAACGAGAAGAACAUUCAGAUGUAUUAUUGUUGUUUUUACUGCACUACAUCUAUAAUUCAGAUGUUCGUGGGUGCUAUGAUUUUUAGCUUUGAAUGGAUUCAAACUGAAUUUUAAUACUGUUAUGUUUAAUUCCAUUUUAAUGUUUGCAUACUUGUAUAAUUUAAAUGAUAUGGUUAUACGUUUAAUUGUAAGCUGCUUUGAGUCUCCUUUGGGAGAGAUAAAGUGGGGUAUAAAUAAGCGUAAUAGUAGUAAUAGUAUUCUAUUUAUUUAUAUCCAUCUUUUCUCUCUCAACUGAGACCCAAAGUAGCUCUCUGGGUGUUUUGGAAAAAUAGUUGAACAGAAGUAAUUUUUAGGCUUGUUUUAGUUACCGUAUUUAUUUAUUUACGUUCCAUUUCAGAAUAGAGAAGGAAAGAGUUACUCAGAAGGUGCUCUACGGUUUCAGUGUUUGGAUCUGAGCACAACUGAAUUCAAAUACUGUAUAAAUGCUAGCCAGAAUUUGACCUUAAGACACAUGGGUCGACUUAUUCAUGGUUCCAUGUGAGGUCCACACCUUAACUCUUCACUCUCUCCAUUGCAAUGUCACUUCUGGCCUUUUUGAAUGCCUGACUGGGAAAACAUAGGCUUUCUCUUCAUGGAAUUACCCUCAACUUAUCCUCAAAUCAUAGCAAAAUCCAUCAUUUUGGCCCCAGACCAACCCUUGACUUAUCCAUGAUGUCAACCAAUGCAUGAUUAGAUGGGAUAGUGAAUGGAAAUUUACUGAGAAAGCCAAUGAAAAGUUAGGGCAGAGGGGAGACGGGGCUGGAGGGACUUGAAAGGAAGAAGGAUGAAACUCCUUGCUAGUCGAAACAGAUAGGAAAAGGGGGAAAUGGAAAUGGGAGAAGGUUCAAGAGAGAGGACUUUAUGACUCAAAGAGAAGGGAGAUGGAGCUUAAGAAGAAAGGGGGAAGUGGCUGGAUUGAAGACCAAAAAGAAGGACAAAGAAGCAGAGAAGUAAGAAUGAAGAAAAAGCUUGCAUGCACAUGUUUAGAAACUUUAGAACAGUGGUUCCCAAACUUAUUUGGCCUGCCGCCCCCUUUCCAGAAAAAAUAUGACUCAGCGCCCCCUAGAAAGGGGGCAUGGAUUAGUGGGGUGGGAGUGGCUCCUGCUCAAGAGGGCGGGGCUGAGCCCCUCCCCUAGUCCAAGAUGCAGGGCUGGGAGGGGGAGAGAGGUGGGCGGGGCUACAAAUGGGCAGCCAGGACUGGGAUGGACGGAGUUAAGAGCUCUGAGGCAGGGCUGAGCUUCUAUCCCUGUCCUGCGGCGACUGCAGGGCAGGGGUGGGGCUAGAGGAGGGGGCGGGGCCUCUUCCCAAGUGCCUGACGGGGCUGAACCUCU
RNAcentral lists this long non-coding RNA (2998 nucleotides) under Anolis carolinensis (green anole). RNAcentral describes it as "lncRNA (ENSACAG00000030816.2)". Lineage: Eukaryota; Metazoa; Chordata; Lepidosauria; Squamata; Anolidae. The record is from RNAcentral.